Molecule: ribosomal RNA, 474 nt
Filed under: uncultured bacterium
Lineage: Bacteria
Description: bacterial SSU rRNA
Rfam family: Bacterial small subunit ribosomal RNA
Source: RNAcentral
CUCUGUGACUCCUACGGGAGGCAGCAGUGGGGAAUAUUGCACAAUGGGGGAAACCCUGAUGCAGCCAUGCCGCGUGUGUGAAGAAGGCCUUCGGGUUGUAAAGCACUUUCAGUAGGGAGGAAGGUAGUGUAGUUAACACCUGCAUUAUUUGACGUUACCUACAGAAGAAGCACCGGCUAACUCCGUGCCAGCAGCCGCGGUAAUACGGAGGGUGCGAGCGUUAAUCGGAAUUACUGGGCGUAAAGCGCAUGCAGGCGGCCUGUUAAGUCAGAUGUGAAAGCCCGGGGCUUAACCUCGGAAUUGCAUUUGAAACUGGCAGGCUAGAGUCUUGUAGAGGGGGUAGAAUUUCAGGUGUAGCGGUGAAAUGCGUAGAGAUCUGAAGGAAUACCAGUGGCGAAGGCGGCCCCCCUGGACAAAGACUGACGCUCAGAUGCGAAAGCGUGGGGAGCAAACAGGAUUAGAUACCCCUGGUAG